UCAUUUCUUUUUCUUCUUCGUUUCUUGUUCGGCCGACCACAACAUUAGAAGGAAAUUUUUUUCCGGCGAGCAUUUCCGGUGAACUAAAAUACCAAACUCGUUCCUCCCUCACUCCUAAACUUGGUGGAGACGCAUCCUCUAAGGGGAAGGAACUCGCCGAACAGUGAGCGCGUCUCAGGACGAGACGACUGGUUCUACUGCGACGUUGGACAGAGUUGUGUUGUGCAGCAGUAGAGUGAUUUGUCUGUUCUCCUUAUUUAGGUUUGUUAUAGUAUGCAUGUAAACUUCAUGGAUCCACUAGACUUGACCUUUAUAUGGUGUUCAUGUAUUUGUAUUUUCUGGUUGUAUCUGAAUACCCUGGCUUGUACUGUUGUUGAUGCUACUUAUGUUUAGGGUCCCUAGUAUAAGGGAACCUUAU
Dioscorea cayenensis subsp. rotundata (Guinea yam) is the source of this 418-nucleotide long non-coding RNA. RefSeq lists it as uncharacterized. Lineage: Eukaryota; Viridiplantae; Streptophyta; Magnoliopsida; Dioscoreales; Dioscoreaceae. The transcript has 3 exons. The record is from RefSeq and is a predicted model, not a curated record.